UAACUCCAUGUGUCGCAUGCUCCUGUGUUAUCAGCAUUCUAUGUACAACUCUGCUAUCAUCGUGCUUGUAUGGUGUGUGUUGUCCGCACAUGAAUGUUUGAUCCCGACCGCGAAAGUAUGUGAACUAACGAGAACCAGAACAGCUGACAAAUACAACAAGAUUAGGAUUCCAAGUACACAAAUUCUCAUUUAUUUUACAAAAAAAAGUUAUUUAACAAAAAUCUACAUUGAACAAUAAAUCGUCUUGUUAUUAUACCAACAAAAUUAUUAAUCAUGAAAUUAUUAUUUCGUAUUUUGAUUUUGUUAUUUAUAAUUUUAUCAUCAUUAUUUACAAGCUGGCAGCUCUGUGGUGGACACCAGGGGGCGGCGGCUCUGCGGCAGGCACCAGCCGGCGACGCCUCUGCGGUGGUGGGCACCAGGCGGCGACGGCUCUGCGCUGGUGGACACCAGGCGGCGACGCCUCUGCGGUGGUGGACACCAGGCGGCGACGACUCUGCGGUGAUGGGCACCAGGUGGCGACGGUGUAGGCUGCUUUGUGGCGGCGGCGGUGUGGGCUGCUCUGUGAGGUGGAGGUCGUCCGUCGGUGGAUCACAGAAUCUGCGCUCUCCUGCAGGGUGUGCCCUGAAAACUGGCGACGUGCACGAAAAAAAAAGACAAAAGGACCAAAGACGACAGAAGGACAGACAAACUUUCACUCGCAACUAUUACACACUGCGUUCUCAUGUGAGCGUACGUUCGUGAGGCUUGCUAUAUGCAGUUUAAUAAGACCAUAGCGAUAUAUAUUUCCUACCCAGACCUAGCCGCCCGGCUGUCCAAAUAUUCGUUAAUAAUUUCGAUAUUGUCUAUGUGACAAUACGCCCGAAAUCUGUCCAUGUUUUUUGUGACCGAGUACGGUGGUAAGUAUUUGUCAAAGAACCCAUGAUUGAUAUGAAAACCUAGAGAACCUUGUCAUUUGAUCCAAGCAAAAGAGUUUCGAUAUGUUGGCUGCAAAAUGCGUCUGUAUAUGUUUUGACAUCACCGAAAAGCUGGCUAUCAUUGUAAUGACAGAACAACCCCAUGUUGUACUGCCAGGACAGCCAUAGAGAAAUUUGAAGUCCUAAAAAUGCGUUUUCGUUAUUGAAGUCAAUUCCGCGCUUUGAAACAUUUAUUCAACUAUCCCUUCAGGAUGCCAGAGUUUACAGUAUCUGGCUUUCAGA
This is a long non-coding RNA of Priapulus caudatus, 1196 nucleotides long. RefSeq lists it as uncharacterized. The record is from RefSeq and is a predicted model, not a curated record. Lineage: Eukaryota; Metazoa; Priapulida; Priapulimorpha; Priapulimorphida; Priapulidae. The transcript has 2 exons.